GGCAUGGUGUAGUGGUUUGAGCAUAAGACUAGGACUCUGAAAAUCAGGGUUUGAUUCCCUGCUUGGCCA
This 69-nucleotide transfer RNA is filed under the name Phrynosoma platyrhinos (Desert horned lizard). RNAcentral describes it as "tRNA-OTHER". The record is from RNAcentral. Lineage: Eukaryota; Metazoa; Chordata; Lepidosauria; Squamata; Phrynosomatidae.